RNAcentral lists this ribosomal RNA (675 nucleotides) under uncultured bacterium. RNAcentral describes it as "bacterial SSU rRNA". It matches the Rfam family "Bacterial small subunit ribosomal RNA", at positions 143 to 807 of the family's 1533-position model. The record is from RNAcentral.
AUAACGGUUGGAAACGACAGCUAAUACAGGAUGAGCAUCCCGAAGGCAUCUUUGGGAUGGAAAAGGGGCCAAGGCCCCGCAUACGGAUGAGCCUGCGGUGCAUUAGCUGGUUGGUGAGGUAACGGCUCACCAAGGCGAUGAUGCAUAGCCGACCUGAGGGGGUGACCGGCCACAUUGGGACUGAGACACGGCCCAAACUCCUACGGGAGGCAGCAGUAGGGAAUUUUCGUCAAUGGGGGGAACCCUGAACGAGCAAUGCCGCGUGAGCGAAGAAGGUCUUCGGAUCGUAAAGCUCUGUUGUAAGAGAAAAACGAGCGCCAUAGGGAAUGAUGGAGCAGUGAUGGUAUCUUACCAGAAAGCCACGGCUAACUACGUGCCAGCAGCCGCGGUAAUACGUAGGUGGCGAGCGUUAUCCGGAAUCAUUGGGCGUAAAGGGUGCGUAGGUGGCACGAUAAGUCUGUAGUAAAAGGCAGCGGCUCAACCGCUGUUGGCUAUGGAAACUGUCGAGCUGGAGUGCAGAAGAGGGCGAUGGAAUUCCAUGUGUAGCGGUAAAAUGCGUAGAUAUAUGGAGGAACACCAGUGGCGAAGGCGGCCGCCUGGUCUGCAACUGACACUGAAGCACGAAAGCGUGGGGAGCAAAUAGGAUUAGAUACCCUAGUAGUCCACGCCGUAAAC